Oreochromis niloticus (Nile tilapia) is the source of this 2919-nucleotide long non-coding RNA. The record is from Ensembl. NCBI's taxonomy places the organism in Eukaryota, Metazoa, Chordata, Actinopteri, Cichliformes, Cichlidae.
GGAAUAAGCCUGGAGAGGUAAAAGAGAAACUAUUCUACAUGUUUUUUGUGUCUUUUUUUUUUUUUUUUCCCAAAGCGCUUAUAACUGAAUGAGCCCACACUGCUUUGCACUGACUUUUUGUGUGUGUUUUGUUUUGUUUUUUUGGCUGUGGUUGGACAUUUUCGAGUUUCAGUCCAAAGUUAUAGAUUUAUGAUCUAACGUGUACGUCACUUUUUGUAUCUCCUUGACCUUCAGUGUUUUUAGAGGCUUUUAUUUUGGCAAGCAGUCACUUUGAGCCGCUUUCUGAAAAAAGAAAAAAACUAGAAAGAAAUAGAAAUCUUUUCAAUUGCUGUAAAAUAACACACACAAAGUGGACUUAAUCAGCAAAGCCUUUAAUAAAGUCAGUUUAAAGAAAGGUUACACUGUUGCCUCCAUUAACAUCCAUAGGUUGUUAAAGCCAACCCAACAAAAUCCGGAAGAUUACAUCAAAUUAACAUCGUAAAUUUACAAAAAUAACAAAAAGUGUGCCCGUUGUCCAACUGCAGGCUUUAAAAUUUUCACAAAUGGCUGCAUCACAUCACCACUGCUCCUUCUGACAGCCACAAAUCACCGCUCUCGAGCCAGCUCAGCUUCACUUUACUUUUUAUUGCCCUAAUGGAGGAACUGUUUACAGCAUUCUUUACAGGAGAGACGCCUCACUGGGGUGUGCAGCGGCAGCUCAACCGCUGUGAAUCACUGUUAUCGCCUCCGAUUUUCAAACAUGUUUGACAAAAAGCUGAUGGGAAUGAUCUGUUUUAUCGAAUGUCUGUGUGUAAAUUUAAACUCUGCUUAGCAGAAAUGGGGAAAAAGGCUGCAUAUCCAACACAACCACUCAUUUUUCUAUAAACUCUCCUUUCCUUAUCUGGCAGCCUUGUGUUGCCACAGGCAGUAGCUACAGCGCAGGCCGGAGGCUGUGGUCUGCAAGUGAGUAGUGGGGCUGGAGGACACCAGGCGGUGGUCUGCGCUGAUGUAAAAAAAAAAGGGCCCUGUACAGGAAAAGUGGUGGUUAGAGAGUUGUCAUUAGGUAGUGUGCUAUGCCAUGACGUCAGGGAAGACAGAAGACGCGGGUGGGAUAGGCGCAAGAAUCCGUGGGCGAGGUGCAAGUGGAAGUGUUUCUGCAUCUUCGCUGGCUCAUUAACGUCUUGUCUUCAUGUUUUCCAGGUGGCAGGCAGAGGGGAGAGCAAAUCAGUUGCUAAUGGUAUGGGACACUAAUGUCUUGAAGGAGCCACUAAAGCUGGGGACCACGACAAUCCAAGACUCUUCUUUGACUUUUCCUUAAGAACCAAAUACAACACCCCCAGGAGGGACCCCCAAGAGCACGCAGGGACAGGACAGACACUGUCUGAGCACUGUACCGAAACAGCAUCAGCAUAUUGUUAUAGGCUUACCACGUAUAGUGCCUUUGCACAAUAAUUUCUGCUUUCUAAAAAAAAAAAGUAUGAUAACAACAAAAUGCUGUGAAAUUUGGACAUUUUAAAUUACUACUUUAUAAAAUCCUGCCAGGAAAACAAAAAAACUAAUAGAAUUAAGAUUUAUGUCUCGUACUCCGUGCUGAGUGGAUGAGUUUAAAAGUUUCCACAUUCCAAAGAGAUGGGUGAUAUCACUUCUCUCCCUCAGAAUAUUUUCCAUCUCUCUCUUUUUUUAUUUAUAUUUAAAGCAAAAGCUUCACACAAUGCUAUAUUAUUCAACGUUCACCUGUUCAGGAUAGAAAUAUAAGCACUUCUAGAGUUUAGCUGAUUUCACUUUUAUUGUCUUACCAAUAGUGCAGCAAUGGUCUGAGUAAUAUAUGCUAGCACAUGUGAUGUUUUGACUAUGACCUAUCAUACAGUAUCAUAUAUAACAUCUGUAUACUCAUAACAAAAGGUAUUUUUUGCUUUUUUUUUAUUCAUUCACCAACAGGCAGUUAAUUUUGAAGGUGAUGGGAGUGUUGGAUAUUCAGAAGGCCAUUUUGACAUUUAUUAUCCUUUCAUGUCAUUUCUUUUUUAAUUUAUGUUUUAAUGUUUUUUUUUUAGUUCUUUCUAGCUUUCGAACACUUUAAAACAUCUUCAGACAUUCCCCUUAAAGCAGUUGCACGUGGUGCCUUUGCUGCCUUAAAGUUUUAUAAUGUAGGACAUGUUUUUUUUUAAUCUGCCUUUAACUUCUUUUUUGCCUCUAUGCACACUCUUAUGCUCAGCAAUACUUUACAUAUUGAGGGCAUACAAAGUAAAAUCAGGGUGCCUAAACAUAUAGCAAGGUCAUAGUAACAAGCAUAUUUACCACUAUGUAAAACUUCUGGCCUUAUGAUUGCAAUGACAGCAUUUAGGACAGCCGAGGUACAGUACUUUAAAGCCUCCUAGCAGCUCAGCAUGAUUUUGAGACUUGUGAUUUUUCACGUUUUCGCGCAGCACAAGCUUAUAAGAAUAUGAACUGUUUGUCAGGGCAUUAAAUUGAUCGAUGUUACUGCUCAACAAUCUGACAAUCACAUUCCAUGGCUUCUGAAAAGAGCAGGGGAGCUGGACCAAAAUAUUUUUAAGCAUGAUAAAAUGUGACGUUUUUGUAUUUUUUUUUAAUGUAAUGGUUUCAUAAUGUUGUGUUUUGUUUUGUUUUCUACAGCCUUGUGUCCAUUUUUAAAAUUUCCAUGUUUAACCAGACACUUGUUUCUUGUGUGGCGCUAAGCCUAUGCAGAAUACACGAUCUGUAGUCUCUCUCCAAAUGUCAUACAAGCAGGCAUUUUCCAAGCGGAGGAAUGUGUUGAACAUUGUAACCUUGACUCAACAACAGCAAUAAAUACAUUGAGGUAUUCCACAUUGUUGAGUUUCCUUUCACAACUUCACUGAAUACAAUCACCAGAUGCUUCUCUAUAGUAGUACCAGGCUGGACUGCAGUUUCCCUUCACAACUGCCUUCGUUUCUUGUAUUCUGA